CCGAGGUGCCGGCUCUGCUCCGGCUUCCCGCAGCGCGGAAGACGCUCGGUCGGGUUGGGUCUACCGGGAUCACAGCGUCCUGCAGAGGCGCAGGAGCAGAAGUCCCAGUGCGCGCGCAGCCGCACAGAGCGCCGCCGCCGGGGGUCAGAAAACAGCCCAGCGGGCACUUCCGCCCUCCGAACCAGAGCGAACCGCAGCGCCCGUAGCCCACCGUAAGUCCAGUCACCCUCGGCGCCCGGAGAUGACGUCACCCGCCCACGUGGCCAGCGCCCCGCCCUCUGAGUUCCGCCCAACCGGGCAAGACCCGAGCUGCUCCUGAGCGUGCGCAGAGACAAGGAGCGCCUGAGCUCGCAUUGAGUCCGCUGGUUUCCUUCUUGGACCAACAGAACGCGUACGUUGGUGUUCCCGGUUGUCAGUUGUAGAAGAACAGAGAAAUAAAGGACCCUGAGACGUCCGCUGCCGCGGUAGCGGCAUUUUUCUCUUCCUCACAAAACAGUAUUGUAAAAACCUUACUGUUAAGAGUGAUUGGGGUGGUUUGGUUGGGCUAGAGUCAGGACAGAGGUGUCAAGCUGCAACUACAGCAGAUCUGGGACUUAAGGAGUUUGUCUCGGGCUGCUCAGCCUCCCAAGUGCGAGAACUGCAGACGCGAGCCACCACACCUGGCUUUCAAGGAACUUUUCGGUUUCAUGAGGUCCCAUUCACUAACUGGUGUUCUCAGUGUUUGCCCCGUCUGUGUUCUACUCAGUCAUCUCCUACGGCAAUGCACCCAAGCUUAGUCACCACUUUCUCCUCUGUCAGGUCCGGUGUAUCCGGUUUUCUGUUGAGAUCUUCGAUGCACUUGCACUUGAGUUCUGCAGGAUGAUGAGUGUCUCAGUUCUCCAGAUAAAACUUCAAGUACUGUAUUAAAUGGAUAUGAAGAGAACAAACAGCCUUGCUUUGUUCCUGAUUUUAGUGGAGUUUCUUAAAGUUUCUAUCCAUUUUUGGAAAAUAAUUUGAGGAGUAUUGGCAUUAACUCUUCUUUGUGCUCUGGGCUUGUUUUGGUUGAUUUUGAUGACUGCUCUUCAGUAGGAAUUAUAAGUCUGUUUCAAAUGUUUACCUUAUUGUCUUAGUCAAAGUUUGUAUUUCUGCACCAAACAUCAUAACUUGGCCUUCUCCCUUGCAGUUUUAAUAUUUUUUCAGUAUGUUUUGUGUUUUUAUUAUUAUAUGCUGAAAGGACUCUCUAUUUUGGUUUGAUCUAUUUCGUGUUCUGUAUGCUUCUUGUAUGCAUCUUCUUCUCUAGGUUGUAAAAUUUUUCUUCUAUGAUUUUGUUCAAUAUAUUUUCUGAAACUUCAAACUGCUUUCUGUCUUAUUAUGAGGCUUCCAGGACCCACAUGCAAUUUAAAUAAGACACAGAGACGUCUAUGUAGUUUAAAGCUGUUGGCCUUGUCCUAGGUCAAUCUCUCAGCUAGCUCAUCUAAAUUUAUCCUAACUUCUCUGCCUCCUGUCUCCUCAUGUGAUUCUCACUAUCUGCUCUCUCCAUUCUGCUUCUUUCUGUGUCUCCGUCCAUCUGUGCAUCUCUUUGAGUCUCCUGCAUCUCCUUCCCUCUCUACCUAGGAGUCCCUCCCUAGAUCCAGCUCCAGGUUUGGCCAUCAGCUCUUUAUUAUACAAAAAGCAUAGUCCAGCCUUUACCAAUCAGCAGCAAGAUGAUCUGGUCCAUCUCUUAGGGUGGCCCUUAGGCAAUGAGGCCCAUCUGACCUUCAUCUUUGGGCAGGUGAGGAAGGGCAAGCAUUUCCAUAUAGAAAACCAGUGAUGGGCUAGAAAUGACAGUACCAAGAUCCUGUUAGGUUUUACAAUUAACAAUUGAAAAAUACAGGGACAUACCUUCAAAGGGAAGAUCACCCCGACAUCUUCCCCUUUGUCUUAGCGUUUUUCAUUGCUGUGAGCAGAUACCAAUGACCAGGGAAAUUCUUAUUAAGGACAACAUUUAAUUGGGGCUGGCUUACAGGUUCUGAGGUUCAGUCCAUUAUCAUCAUGAUAGGAAGCAGUGUCCAGGGAGGCCUGGUCCUGAAGGAGCUGAGAGUUCUACAUCUUGUUCCAAAGGCAAACAGGACACGGCUUCUUUCUAUAAACUGAGGUUGCUGUUGGGGUAUUUGUUGCUACUACCGCCCCAAAUUACUGCAAGCUGUUUACCAAUCUUCACAGAUGACAUAAUUUUAUCAUUGAUAUACAGUAUUUUAAUCCCUACUGGGUCUGUUCCUGAUAAUUGACAAAGUCUUAAUCUUCCUUUUACAAUCAAGUCAGGACCUUUUACAUAGGUCUCAAUUUUUUUACUCUGUUUAUAUGCUAAAAAUAUCCAUUCUAAGACAAUAAUCUUUCCUCUGCAUAAGAAUUCCUGUGGGAGAAUGAGUAGAAGGCAAAAUAACUAAAAUCCCAUCAAUCUUUGGAUCCAAGCACUCCAUGUGUGCUUCCGGUAAUCUCUUUUCUACCAGAGCCAAUUUUCUCUCAGUUUUUACUGAUAAUUUUCCCAGACUAUUUAAUUCUGACUCACCUUGUAAGAUUUGAAAUAAAUUACUUAGCUCUUGAAUAGUUAAUCCGGUUUUAACCGAUAGCCAGUUAAUAUCUCCCAGCCAUUUUUGAAAAUCAUUAUGAGUUUGUAAUUGAUCUAUUAUUAUGUAUAUUUUCUGUGGAUGAAUUUUCUGUAAACCUAUCUUAUAUCCUAGAUAAUUAGUAGAAUCUUCUCUUUGUAUUUUUUUCAGGAGAAAUUCAUAUUCCCCAACAAGGCAAACUUAUCCUUCCUUCAUCAAAUAUUUCCCUGAGGAAUCUGAAUCAGCCAGUAAUAUAUUAUCCAUAUAAUGAUAAAUUAUAGAUUCAGGAAAUUGUUCAUGGGUAUGAACAUUGUUCAUUCUAAUGGCUGUUGUACAAAUAUUGACAUAAGGGAACUUGGACGGUUGGGAAAACAAUGAUCCAGAGAGGCAUUGCCAUCCAUACGAUUCUGACAACAAGUUCACUGUGCUGUGUCCAGAGGCGAUGAGAAAGAAGUGAUGUGUCUCCACUUGAAGAGUCAUAUACAUGACAAGGAUAACAGACAACGGUCAGGGGCUUGGAAGCAAAGGAUGAGGGGCCAUGAGACAUCUCGGAUGCACCCAGGAAAAUGUGACUCUGAUUCCUUGAAGCACUGCUUAUUGAAGCACGGUGUUGUAAGGACUUCCUAACAGAUAUAUUUACACGGAGUGCCUUGCAGUAUACCAGAGUCCCAAAACGACAAGAAGAUUAGGGGUGGUCCAUGUGCUGAGCCACCUAAAGGAUCCUUCCAUUUGACCAUAUUGAAAGAGGAUUGUGUAUGAGGAUGCCAAAAUCUAUCUUCAGCAGAUCUGCCGUCCUUGUCUAAUGGGAAAAAUGUAAUCCCUUGAGGAUUAUAAGAAUUCCCUGUUUCACGAGUUAUGUUAAAUUGUGACCAAAACUUCAUAAAUGACUUUCUAAGUCUAACUCAUCUUCAUCUGGGAAUUCGGCCAGAGAAGGGAGAGGAGGCACAGGGGCAGCUGCAGAUGGUUGCUCCCCAGCACCCUGCGUUCUUCAAUGUCCUCAACUACUACUCAGCUUGUGUAAUUUUUGAGACUCAUGGCCAGGAUCUAAAUCAUCCCUGAUUAAAGCCCACAAAGGAAAAGUAAGUACUGGGACCUUUUCAGGUCCAGGAACAGUGCAAUAAUCUGCUAAGCAUUUUCCAAUUUUCCCCCAAGUUUUCAUAUUUACCGUUCCUUGCUCUAGGAACCAAGGACAAACUUCCUCAAUAAACUUUAAAGAUCUCAUCAACAGUGAGAACUCACCUCAGCCCCUUGUGUCUUUAACUUGCCUUUAAGCAUUUGGACAAGCAACAGCCCACUGCUAGACAGUCCCAUUGCACAGCAUGCUGACUCUCUCUCUCUCUCUCUCUCUCUCUCUCUCUCUCUCUCUCUCUCUUCUCUCUCUCUCUGUUUUAAUUGAGCACUCCUCGGCAGUGGCCCUCACUGAAUCCCCAAGCUGUACCCAGCCUGCAGGUACAAGUCAACCUAGAACAGGAAUGGGGGAGUGAGGAUGAAAAGAGAGACACAAGGAAUGGACUCAAGCCUGAUCCUGGACAAGACUCAGUUUAGUACUGUUGGUCCAGCUUAUAAGCACUCCAGCAAACAAAGCUCUUCCUGAGAAAGAUCCUUUAAAGACUCAGUGUAGAUGAGAGUUCUCUUGACUGCACACACUGCUCUCUGACCUUGAGUGCACACACUGCUCUCUGACCUUGAGUGCACACACUGCUCUCUGACCUUCACUGCACACACUGCUCUCUGACCUUCA
This 4305-nucleotide small RNA is filed under the name Rattus norvegicus (Norway rat). RNAcentral describes it as "uncharacterized LOC102554815". Lineage: Eukaryota; Metazoa; Chordata; Mammalia; Rodentia; Muridae. The record is from RNAcentral.